CGAACGGGUGAGUAACACGUGGGUGAUCUGCCCUGCACUUCGGGAUAAGCCUGGGAAACUGGGUCUAAUACCGGAUAUGACUACGGAUCGCAUGGUCUGUGGUGGAAAGCUUUUGCGGUGUGGGAUGGGCCCGCGGCCUAUCAGCUUGUUGGUGGGGUUAAGGCCUACCAAGGCGACGACGGGUAGCCGGCCUGAGAGGGUGACCGGCCACACUGGGACUGAGAUACGGCCCAG
RNAcentral lists this ribosomal RNA (234 nucleotides) under uncultured bacterium. RNAcentral's name for it is "partial 16S ribosomal RNA". It matches the Rfam family "Bacterial small subunit ribosomal RNA", at positions 99 to 334 of the family's 1533-position model. The record is from RNAcentral.